CGGCGAGCGAAGCGGGAAGAGCUCAAAUUUAUAAUCUGGCACCUUCGGUGUCCGAGUUGUAAUCUCUAGAAGUGUUUUCCGCGUUGGACCGCACACAAGUCUGUUGGAAUACAGCGGCACAGUGGUGAUACCCCCGUACACGGUGCGGACGCCCAGCGCUUUGUGAUACACUUUCAAUGAGUCGAGUUGUUUGGGAAUGCAGCUCAAAUUGGGUGGUAAAUUCCAUCUAAAGCUAAAUAUUGGCGAGAGACCGAUAGCGAACAAGUACCGUGAGGGAAAGAUGAAAAGCACUUUGGAAAGAGAGUUAACAGUACGUGAAAUUGUUGGAAGGGAAACGCUUGAAGUCAGACUUGCUUGCCGGAGCUUGCUUCGGUUUGCAGGCCAGCAUCAGUUUUCCGGGGUGGAUAAUGGUGGUUUGAAGGUAGCAGCCUCGGCUGUGUUAUAGCUUUCCACUGGAUACAUCCUGGGGGACUGAGGAACGCAGCGUGCUUUUUGCGAAGGUUUCGACCUUUUCACGCUUAGGAUGCUGGUGUAAUGACUUUAAACGACCCGU
This 553-nucleotide ribosomal RNA is filed under the name Rhodotorula sp. RNAcentral describes it as "eukaryotic LSU rRNA". It matches the Rfam family "Eukaryotic large subunit ribosomal RNA", at positions 87 to 652 of the family's 3401-position model. Lineage: Eukaryota; Fungi; Basidiomycota; Microbotryomycetes; Sporidiobolales; Sporidiobolaceae. The record is from RNAcentral.